CUUUCUUGCCUGCCACCAUGUAAGACUUCCUUUUGUUCUUCCUUCAUCUUCUGCCCUGAUUGUGAGGCCUCCCCAGCCAUUUGGAACUGUCAACAGUUCUCAGUUUUUGGUCCCUGAGGAGCAGCAUCAUCAUCACCUAGGAACUUGUUAGAAAGAUGCUCCUUGAAAUUUGAGAACUACAACUCCACCUCUUGGACUUGAGGAUGAGGAAGGCUUGGUCAGCUUGUUUAUUCCCUAAGGAUACUACAAGGAUACUCUAGUCAUCUUCAUAUAAAAUGAUCAAGGUGAAGAAAUAUAAAAUGAUCAAGGUGAAGAAAAUAACCAAGUUUCAGGUGACUCCACUGAAAAACAAGCCCCUGUGACUCACUUUAUCAUUGAGACCUGGCUAAGAAAUGGGUGUAAGGAAAAAGAGCUGGGCAUGGUGGCUACGCCUGUAAUUCCAGCAUUUUGGGAGGCUGAAGGAGGUGGAUCGCUUGAGAUCAGGAGUUCGAGACCAGCCUGGCCAACAUGGUGAAACCCCGUCUCUACUAAAAAUACAAAAAUUAGCCAGGUGUGAUGGUGCGCACCUGUAGUCCCAGCUACUGGGGAGGCUGAGGCAUGAGAAUUGCUUGAACCCAGGAGGCCGAAGUUGCGGCCCACUAUGACACCGUGACAGGCUAAAGAGCCUUUUGAAUGGAAACUACAUAAAGCAUCAAGCCCCUGAAAAGAAUGACCAGACAAAAGUGCCACAAUCAAUUGAAUGUCUUUAGGAGAUACACUUUUCUUUUAAAAAGCGUGACGCUUUGAUGACUCAGUGGCAGGACAGGUGACAAAGGAAUGGCUGCCUGGAGGCUGUGCAUGGCAGGAGGAGACACCACAGUCUUCCCGCCCUGCCACCCGUCCCUGCCGCCUGACUGUGGAAGGAUGAAGGACACUUUUAGAAAUUUCCCUGCGCGGAGAUGCCAGGAAACCAAUCAUCGCCCAGCCACUUUGUGGGGCCAUUAGCAGAGCGUCAAACUCCAUCUUUGUUUAAACGAAAGCACAAAGAAAAUAAUUUUUCAUCUGAGGAAUCACCUUAAGAUCCCCAAAUGGAAAGUAAGGGGAGCAGUAAACCUCUCACUCCGGGUGGGCAGCUCUAACACAGGGCAUUAAGGUAAGAAGGUUAUUUAUGACAGAAGAAAGGAGACAGGAUUCCAAAGUGGGAGACGAAGGACAGAGGUGAUUGGAGCCUAGCUUUAUCCCCUGCCCCAUUCAAAUGCGGAGGGCAAUGACUUCCAUAAGAAACCAGGUGCCACACGUGACCCAAAGGCAAAAGCCUCACUUUAACUCCUUGAUAUGGUCUGGCUGUGUUCCCACCCAAAAUCUCAUCUGGAAUUGUAGUCCCCAUAAUCCCUGUGUGUGUCAAGGGCAGAACCAGGUGGAGGUAAUCGGAUCAUGGGGGCGUUUCCCCCAUGCUGUUCUCGUGAUAGUGAGUGAGUCUCACGAGAUCUGAUGGUUUAAUAAGCGUCUGGCAUUUCCCCUGCUGGCACUCAUUCUUUCUCCUGCUGUCCUGCGAAGAGGUGCCUUCUGCCAUGAUUGUUAGUUCCUGAGGCCUCCCCAGCCAUGCGAACUCUGUAGGCUAACCCAAGAAGAAUAAAGCAUCGGCUUCCCUGACAUGCUGCUCCCCCCAAAACAGAGUGCCAAUAUGAUUCCAAGGUUCUUAGCACACUGUAUAUUACCUCACUCCUCCUACAG
Molecule: long non-coding RNA, 1713 nt
Organism: Homo sapiens (human)
Lineage: Eukaryota; Metazoa; Chordata; Mammalia; Primates; Hominidae
Source: Ensembl